Molecule: transfer RNA, 75 nt
Filed under: Saara hardwickii (Indian spiny-tailed lizard)
Lineage: Eukaryota; Metazoa; Chordata; Lepidosauria; Squamata; Agamidae
Description: tRNA-His
Source: RNAcentral
GACCAUGGUAGUUUAAACAAUAAACCUUUAGGUCGUGGCCCUAACAAUAGAAAGCUCCAAACCUUCUCCAUGGCU